UGGGUAGACUUGCUCCAUGGCCUUCAGAAUAAGAUCCUUUGUGGGGCAUUCAGUCUAUGAAUUAGAAAAUUGCCUUCAUCUCGGAUGCCUGUGCUUCUGG
RNAcentral lists this long non-coding RNA (100 nucleotides) under Castor canadensis (American beaver). Its description in RNAcentral is "MEST intronic transcript 1, antisense RNA conserved region 3 (ENSCCNG00000019152.1)". It matches the Rfam family "MEST intronic transcript 1, antisense RNA conserved region 3". The record is from RNAcentral. Lineage: Eukaryota; Metazoa; Chordata; Mammalia; Rodentia; Castoridae.